Molecule: long non-coding RNA, 1279 nt
Organism: Papaver somniferum (opium poppy)
Lineage: Eukaryota; Viridiplantae; Streptophyta; Magnoliopsida; Ranunculales; Papaveraceae
Exons: 3
Source: RefSeq, a predicted model, not a curated record
AGUUAGGUCUCCAAGUUCGUUAACAACGUGGUGGUUGGUGGUAUUAGCGCUCUUUGUAUGGAUGCACUUAAUGGGUGCUUUGAUUGCGUCCAGCUGAUACUGUACAUCAUGCAAGCACUACGCAUAAUCCCAUUACAGGUACACAACAAGUCCACAUAUGUUCACUGGAGAUACUGAAAAUGAAUUUGCACGAAACCAAUUUUGGUGGUGGUCGGCGGCGGUGGGGCUGGUGGUGGUCUACGACGGCGGAUCUGGUGAUCCGUGGCGGAGGUGGUAAUCUUAAUUUUACUCUUGAGUGCGAAUGUUAUCAGCUUGGGAUGGAAAUAUAUACACCACCACAAUAGUUUUUAGAAAACAUUUUUAGCCCAAAAAGUGUAGGAAAAGAAAAAUUAAAACGCUACCAAUUUCAGUUUCAUAUAAAGUUGGUAAAACCGAUUUUGAUUUCAUGUAACUUUUCCUUAAUUUUUUUGAAAUUUUUCGGUGAAACCAACAUUGUUGGUAAUAAAUAGUAUUUUAUUGAAACAAGCAUUUAUUUCAUCUGCGUUUGAUCAAUAUUUUUUGAGGUUUUAUUGACGAAACUAAACUUUUCUAAGUGAUUUUUUUUGUUGAAACAAUUUUGGUUUCAUCUGAUUUGUUUUUUAUUUUCUAUGAAACCAGUUUUGGUUUCAUCAAUAUUUCAUUAAUGAUACAGAGAUGAAUUGUUUUUUGAUGAAACCAGUUUUGGUUUCAUCAAAAAUUUAGUUACGCAGGUGAUGGUAUUGGCAGUUGUGGUGCUACUGGGGGUGGUAAUGGCGGUGGUGUUGUUGACAUCGGCGGUGGUUGGCGUUGGUGGUUGCUAGUGGUGGUUGGAUUUGUUCUAAGAGGCGACGGUGGUGGUUUUAUGAAUAUUUGGUGGUGGUGGGUGGUGGAUGACGUUACCAUAAGUUGCUGGUUGGUGGUGGCGGUGGUAUGUGAGAUGGUCGACGACAUUGGCGGUGGUCCGUGAUAAUGGUGGUCGGCAUCGGCGAUGGUAGAGUCAAUUCCUAACUUAAGCAGAAGUAUUAGAAGAAGGUGUGGGAGGAGGAAGCAGAGAAAAAAUGUGGGGAUACCUUAAUGCUUUGGAAUUGCCUUAUAAAAGUAACCAGUUAUAAGGGAGGUUGGUUUAGUAGAGGGGCGGUAGUGUGAUAGUAAUGUCCCUCUAGUUGGUUAGAAGAUGUCCUAUAAAAGGUGUAAAUUAACUAGAUUAAGCUCCCCAUUUUUUAACCUAAAUCAAAGCUAAAUUGAAAAUUUGUUUUCUUUA